GACAGAAGAGUGUGUCAAGUUAGCCAAGUAGUGACCGCCUCAUAAACCAACCAAGGUGUUAUUUUCGUUCACCUUGAGUUGGGACGAGGCAAGUCAUCAUUGGCUACCCAACAAGAGCGCUCGCUCUUCUGU
Non-coding RNA from Helianthus annuus (common sunflower), 132 nucleotides. Lineage: Eukaryota; Viridiplantae; Streptophyta; Magnoliopsida; Asterales; Asteraceae. The record is from Rfam.